This 142-nucleotide unclassified non-coding RNA is filed under the name soil metagenome. RNAcentral describes it as "partial internal transcribed spacer 1". The record is from RNAcentral.
CCGAGUUUACAACUCCCAAACCCCUGUGAACAUACCAUAUACGUUGCCUCGGCGAGCAGCCCCCCUCGGAGGGACCGCCCGAGGACCCUAAACUCUGCUUUAGUGGAACGUUGUCUGAGUGUAGAAGCAAGCAAAUAAAUCA